GUAGUAUUUGUCUUGGUCCCCAGCACCUCCGCAAGCCUUUCGCCGUCUUCUGCGUAGAGUUCUCUGUCUUCGAGCUCUAUUAGAGACUCUAAAAGUUCUUCACUUUUGUUAACUUUCUUACCUUGUACGUUUAACAACUAAGAUUUGACAUUUUGAUGCAUCUGGAUUGCUGUACUUUUGCUGCUUAGAGCAGCUAAGAUCUCAGCAAAAAACGUUCUUCGCUUUCACUGAUUUGUGUGCGAGGUUGUUUAUUGCUUACUGGGCAGUGGGUUCUUAAACGUCUCCUCAAUUCAUACAAUUUUCCCCUUUUAUCUUACUCAAAGUGUUUCUAUUUUGUUUUUGUUGUAUGACUAUUAGUUAAUUCUAAUAAUCUGCUGUUGUUUUGUAUGGAUAUGUGUUUUUGAAUUAAAGAUUAAAAAAGUGAAAAAGAUUUAGUUUUUUAAGUUAAAGGAUCUUCAUUUGAAGGGUUUUUUUGAUCUUCAGGAGUCAUUAAAGAAUUGGUUUGACUGAUGCUUUAUGCUUAACUAAGUUAAUUUUUAUAUGUCAUCUUACUGAUAAAGACUUGAGUUUAUAACCAAAUAUUUUAUCUUGCAAAUAAUAACUGUAAAAGCAGUGCCCUUUCAUCCCCUGUCAAUUAAUAAGCGGGUUGGCCUGUAGUGGGAUUUUGUCUACCAUUCAUGUCUCCAAAGCCUUGCUGGCUACAUAUGGUUUUUGGGUUCUUUGCACUUGUGCCGUUUGUGCGGAAGAUAUCAAUAUUGGGGCAUCUCUGAGGAACUCGGUGUCUGCAGCCCGUCAAUAUGCCUCUCUCUGAGCUCUAUCGGAUGGCCAGUGGGAAGAUUGAUUCGAGUCAAGAGAAAAACCCCUCUUGUUCUACUGAACUAUCUUUCAUACCUGAGAAUGAUUUUGUUGAGCUUGUGUGGGAAAAUGGUCAGAUUAUGGUGCAAGGCCACUCCAAUCGAGCUAGAAGGGCCCCUAUUUGUGGCAGUUUACCUUCUCACCGUUUGCAAUCUCAUAUCCCGAGAACUAGAUAUAAAGAAAUAGGGAACGGCACCUCUACGAUAAAGAUUGGGAAUUUUGGAACAAUGGACUCUGUUGUGAAUGAAAUUCCAAUAUCGGUGCCCUCUGGUGAAAUAGGUUUGAACCAAGAUGAUGAUGUGGUUCCCUGGUUGAAUUAUUCCAUCGAUGGAUCUUUACAACAUGACUAUUGUUCAGAUUUUUUGCCUGAAUUAUCUGGUGUCACAGUUAAUGAGCAAUCUCUUGAUAGGAGAAGUGUUGCUAGUCAAUUAAUUAGAGACUCACAUGCGGUACCUUUGCAUUGUUUGGAACAAGAAAGUGUGUCAAAGGUUGCCAUGGCAGGGGGCAGGGAGGAUAAUAGGCCUCGUAGUAGUGCCAGUCGGUUAUAUCCAUCAUCAUCACAGUCACAGCAAUGCCAAAUUUCCUCUUCACAUCUUAGAUCUAAAACAUCUGACAAUUUUGACAAUAUGAGCAAUGCCACUCAUAAUGUCAUUUGUGGAGAUUCAGUUAGGGUUUCAACAUCAGCAGGUGGUUUUGCCAGCAGUAAGAUGCAGAGGGAAGAUCCAGCACUGCCUACUAGCAGCUCUGGUUACAUGAAUUUCUCUCAUUUCUUGCGGCCUGCUACUUCCUUUAAAGCUAGUAUUCGGAAUAUUGGUGGCAGAGCUAGUUCAGGAGUAUCAAGCUUGGAAAGGAUGGGAUCUAACGAAAAGGUGUCUGUUUCUAGUAGUAGCAAUCCUACUGAAUCUAAUCUCAAUGAUUUUUGUGGUAGUUCAAGAAGACGAAUUAAUCCCCCUUGCCAGCCUCUUACUAUUCCAUCCAAGGUUGACACUACUCCCAUGGAGGCUAAGCUUCUGCAGGAAGUGCAUCCUGCUGAACUUCUUGAGGCCAUACAGCACGGAGAUGCAUCCAAAAAUGGCGAAAAAGCAAUGCAAGCUCUUAAUGAGAGCGCAAAUAAAGCACAAACAAAUGGGGAAAAGAACAUAGAGCCUUUAGUUGCUUCUUCUUCUGUUUGCUCUGGCAAUAGUGUGGAGAAAACUUCGGAUGACCGAGCCCAUGAUUUGAAGAGAAAAUGUCGUGACACUGAGGAGUCGGAAGGUCCUAGUGAAGAAGUUGAAGAAGAAUCUGUCGGUGUAAAAAGACCAGUUCCUGCUCGAGGAGGUACAGGCUCAAAGAGAAGCCGAGCGGCUGAAGUGCAUAAUUUAUCUGAAAGGAGGCGAAGGGAUAGGAUUAAUGAGAAGAUGCGUGCACUACAAGAACUCAUACCAAACUGCAAUAAGGUGGACAAGGCUUCGAUGCUUGAUGAGGCAAUUGAGUAUCUGAAGACACUUCAACUUCAAGUACAGAUAAUGUCAAUGGGAGCUGGUCUUUAUAUGCCACCAAUGAUGUUUCCUCCAGCUAUGCCACACAUGCAUGCAGCUCAUAUGGCGCAUUUUUCACCAAUGGCCAUUGGAAUGGGGGUGGGAAUGGGUAUGCCUGACCUCAGUGCAGGGUCUUCAGGCUGCCCAAUGAUUCAGGUGCCCUCCAGUCAAGGAGCGCAAUCCCCUGUUUCUCCAAUGCCUGGGGCAACUGCUUUUCAUGGGAUGACAGGACGUAACCUUCAGCUGUACGGACUACCUGGUCAAGGACUUCCCAUGAUGAUGCCAUGUUCACCGUUAUACCCCUUGUCUGGAGGGGCAGUUAUGAAACGACCCGUGGGACCAGAUGCCUCUGGAACGGUUGGCCCUAUUCAAAAUCUUGAUCCAGGUUCUUGUUCAAAGGAUGCAAGGCAGAACAUUAACCCACAACCUCAAGUGAUGGAAAACAUUGUUGCCAAUAGCUCAAUGAAUCAGGCAUCUAAGCAGUUAUCUAAAAUUCCAGGGCCUAGCAACAAAUGAAAGCUUGGAACAGCCUACGUUGGUCCAAAAUAAUAGCAAGGCAUUGGAAAUGAACGGAGCUUCUAAUUCUGCGAAUGGAAAUGAUGAUGCAUCUGGCAGUGUAGCUUGCGAGUAUAUGUUAUGAUUGACAUCCGGUUCUGAUCAUGAUGAUGGGAUGAGCGGGAUUCCUUUAGCCCUUCAAUGUAGACUGGAAGUCUGCCUAUUUAUGGAGCCACCGAUGUACGCAGAAGGUUUCUAAGGGUUGCUGAAUGAGGCUGAACGUACCGAGAAGCUGUUAUUCAAAUCUCAGGUGAAUAUACAAGUGAAUAAUGCAAUGUCCAAGAGUUGAAUAAUUCAGAUAUUUGUAUUGAAUUGAGUUUUAUACAUCUCCAAGAACAAAUUCUUAAAAUUAUCGAAAUGAUACCUGCCAUUGACAAA
Tripterygium wilfordii is the source of this 3305-nucleotide RNA transcript. It is a transcript of the gene named transcription factor PIF3-like, with no coding region annotated. The record is from RefSeq and is a predicted model, not a curated record. The transcript has 8 exons. NCBI's taxonomy places the organism in Eukaryota, Viridiplantae, Streptophyta, Magnoliopsida, Celastrales, Celastraceae.